CAGAACGAACGCUGGCGGCGUGCCUGAGACAUGCAAGUCGUGGGAGAAAGUCGGAGCAAUCCGGCUAGUAAACCGGCGCACGGGUGAGUAACACGUGGGCAACCUGCCUUGGAGACCGGGAUAACCCGUCGAAAGACGGGCUAAUACCGGAUAAGACCCCGGGUAGUUCGCUAUCUGAGGUAAAAGGUGGCCUCUGCUCCUGCAAGCUAUUACUUCAAGAGGGGCCCGCGGCCUAUCAGCUAGUUGGUGAGGUAACGGCUCACCAAGGCUUAGACGGGUAGCUGGUCUGAGAGGAUGGUCAGCCACACUGGGACUGAGACACGGCCCAGAGUCCUACGGGAUGCAGCAGUCAGGAAUAUUGCGCAAUGGAGGAAACUCUGACGCAGCGACGCCGCGUGGGUGAUGAAGGCCUUCGGGUCGUAAAGCCCUGUCGGAGGGGAAGAAAAGCCUGCUGGCUAAUAUCCAGCGGGCCUUUGACGGUACCCUCAAAGGAAGCACCGGCUAACUCCGUGCCAGCAGCCGCGGUAA
This 528-nucleotide ribosomal RNA is filed under the name uncultured delta proteobacterium. RNAcentral describes it as "bacterial SSU rRNA". It matches the Rfam family "Bacterial small subunit ribosomal RNA", at positions 25 to 523 of the family's 1533-position model. The record is from RNAcentral. Lineage: Bacteria; Deltaproteobacteria.